Molecule: long non-coding RNA, 340 nt
Organism: Panicum hallii
Lineage: Eukaryota; Viridiplantae; Streptophyta; Magnoliopsida; Poales; Poaceae
Exons: 3
Source: RefSeq, a predicted model, not a curated record
CUCGUCUCCCUGCAAUGAUAGGUGGAUCCUACACUGCCGUCGUGCCGACCAUUUCCCCAACCCCGAAGUAUCAGCACAGUCAAAACAGGUUCCUUGCUAUCAGAGACAAUAAGCUCCACAUAUAUAAGCCAACACCCGGGUAUGUUCUAUUCUUUUUUCACUGAACAUUACAUGUACAUAUGCUAUCUUUCUUGAUCGAGCUCUAUGAUGAUGAGGAAACACAAGACUUUACUCUUCUAGGAUCAUUAAGUGUUUGUUUGUCUUUGAACUCAUUAAGGCGUGUGUAUCUUAUGUCCGUACUUGAUUGUACCUUGUAAAUAACGGGCCACAGGUGAUAACA